This 504-nucleotide ribosomal RNA is filed under the name uncultured bacterium. Its description in RNAcentral is "partial 16S ribosomal RNA". It matches the Rfam family "Bacterial small subunit ribosomal RNA", at positions 30 to 523 of the family's 1533-position model. The record is from RNAcentral.
AUUGAACGCUGGCGGCAUGCUUUACACAUGCAAGUCGAACGGCAGCAUGGGUGCUUGCACCUGAUGGCGAGUGGCGAACGGGUGAGUAAUGUAUCGGAACAUAUCCGCAAGUGGGGGAUAACGUAGCGAAAGUUACGCUAAUACCGCAUAUUCCCUGAGGGGGAAAGGAGGGGAUCCGCAAGGACCUUUCGCUUACGGAGUUGCCGAUAUCAGAUUAGCUAGUUGGUGAGGUAAAGGCUCACCAAGGCGACGAUCUGUAGCGGGUCUGAGAGGAUGGUCAGCCACACUGGGACUGAGACACGGCCCAGACUCCUACGGGAGGCAGCAGUGGGGAAUUUUGACCAAUGGGGGCAACCCUGAUCCAGCCAUGCCGCGUGAGUGAAGGAGGCCUUCGGGUUGUAAAGCUCUUUCAGCCGGAAAAAAAUCGCAUCACCUAAUACGUGGUGUGGAUGAUGGUACCGGAAGAAGAAGCACCGGCUAACUACGUGCCAGCAGCCGCGGUAA